CCCAACCUCCCUCGACACCCUCGAAGUUCUUGGGGUUCAUGUGGAAUCCCCUGUCCUGGGUCAUAGAGCUUGCUGCUAUCAUGGCCAUUGCACUUACAAAUGGAGGGGGCAAGCCUCCAGAUUGGCAAGAUUUCAUAGGCAUCAUCACUAUUUAUAAACUCCACUAUUAGCUUUAUCGAGGAGAACAAUGCCGGUAACGCUACGGUUUGAAGAUCUCGCUAAAUCGAUUCUAACCACUGAAGUCGAGGAAACAAAGUGAUAAUCAUAAUAUAGAAGAAGCCAAGAAAUUGACCCAUUAACUUUAUGCUUCAGUUUCUGGGCAUCCCUUAACCAAGUCGUUACUGUACUUUGGAUCAAUUGGUUAGUGCUGUGCUGGCGCACUUCAUCUUGAAGGAGAAACUACACAAGCUAGGGAUGUUGGGCUGUGUGAUGUGCAUUGUCGGUUUUGUCAUAAUUGUCAUCCAAGCAUCGCAAGAAAGUCUCAUUACUUCUGUUCAAGAAAUAUGGAUUAUGGCGACUCAACCAGCUUUUCUGCUUUACAUCGACUUGGUAAUCAUGUUGGUGUUCAUCCUGGUUUCCAUUUUUCACCUAGAUGUGGGCACACGGAUGUGCUAGUUUACACUGGCAUCUGCUCAUUAAUGGGCUCUCUCUCGGUGAUGAGUGUGAAAGCCCGUGGGACUUCUUUGAAGUUGACUUUUGAGGGGAAGAAUCAGUUGAUCUAUUCCGGAGACUUGGUUCUUUAUGUUGGUGGUGGCUACAUGUGUAGUUACCCAAAUGAAUUAUCUCAACAAGGUCUGUCCCAAGAUGUUAUCCAACUUUAAUUAGCUAACUUGCUUAAUGCUGAAUUUGUAAAUUUCAUUUGUCAUUGCCUCACAACAAUCGAUAAUAUUGAAUGACACCAAAUUUCCUCUUUUACAAUAACUUUUACUUUUCCCAUAUGUUGAGAUUACAUAAUAUUGGGAGAAAAGGAAGUCAUUGAAUAUAUGCAUCUUUCUUAA
Molecule: RNA transcript, 998 nt
Organism: Eucalyptus grandis
Lineage: Eukaryota; Viridiplantae; Streptophyta; Magnoliopsida; Myrtales; Myrtaceae
Exons: 5
Source: RefSeq, a predicted model, not a curated record